AUAAAAUGGAAAGUGAUGCCAUUUGGCUUGUCAAUACAAAAUAAAAUAAUAUCUCUUCCCUUUGAAAUCAAGUAUAGUAAGGCCCCAGACCUUACUAUAUAUCUUUUCUUUUGCAAGCUAUUUUUCUAAAAUGUUUAGAACUUUUAAAAGUAAAUGAGCUUAUUUUUAGAUCUCACCAUCUUUUAUUGUACUGUAUCUGUACAGUCUUUCAGCUAAAAGAGACACAGAUAAUGCCUAUAUUUCCUUGCAGAACGUAUUCUUAUAAGCAUAACCUAAGCAUAGUUACUGACUGUAAGCAAGAGAAACAGGGAUAACAAAAUUGGUAUCUAAUAAAAAGAGCUCAUUCCACCAAGAACAUUUACCUUUAUUCAACUACAUUGUUUUAUCCAAGCUUCUAAGGAAUGAGAAAUUUAAUAUUUAAAGUUUUACUUUCUCUUCCCAAUAUGCCUGCUCUGUUGUAAGUGAGGAGUCAAAUUAAUGAGAGGAAAGUGAAAAAAAUGUGUGGAUCCUUAACUUGAUAAUCAGAUUCUCAGUAGUGGAAAUGUGUACUUUCAAGAGGAAAAGAUAGUGUAAAAAAUAGAAAGCAUGUUUUUCUUAAUUAAUGCAUUCCCCCCAAAUUAAAUACAGUAACAUGCUACUUAAACAUGCAAUGAUUGUCUUU
RNAcentral lists this long non-coding RNA (661 nucleotides) under Bos taurus (domestic cattle). Its description in RNAcentral is "long non-coding RNA NONBTAT026418". The record is from RNAcentral. Lineage: Eukaryota; Metazoa; Chordata; Mammalia; Artiodactyla; Bovidae.